Small nucleolar RNA from Rana temporaria (common frog), 134 nucleotides. RefSeq annotates it as small nucleolar RNA SNORA5. The record is from RefSeq and is a predicted model, not a curated record. NCBI's taxonomy places the organism in Eukaryota, Metazoa, Chordata, Amphibia, Anura, Ranidae. The transcript has a single exon.
GGCAGUCGUGUCAAAUUCGGCAGCUCCUGCUCAGUGGGUUCUGCUGGCCAAAACGACUGCAACAUUAUCUGGCGGUUCAUGGGCCUCAUCUCCUCCCGUGUGGAUGCUGAGGAUAAAUUGUACUGCCGACACUC